GUUCCUCCUUCUAGGAAACAACCAUCACGGAAGGAAUGCGGGAUAAAAGGGACAAGGAAACAAGAUGCGCCUACGGCACCCGAACGGAUGAGUUUAAGCGAUAAGGGAAGAGAUUCGGAUUUUCAAGAAAGAAGUGUUUGACUACAUGGAUAACAACUUCAAAAAGUUGUUAGAUGCAAUAAAGGGCAAUCAAACACCAGAUAAGGUCGGCGACACAAUGUUAAAAGGCGACUUACAUAGUGAUGGUGGGAUUUAUCAAGGCAAUCAAAGUGGCGGUACGGUAAAGCUUUCAACCAAAGAGAAUCAAGGUGGUGGUGCCACUUCCGCGC
Lycium ferocissimum is the source of this 329-nucleotide long non-coding RNA. RefSeq lists it as uncharacterized. The transcript is spliced from 3 exons. NCBI's taxonomy places the organism in Eukaryota, Viridiplantae, Streptophyta, Magnoliopsida, Solanales, Solanaceae. The record is from RefSeq and is a predicted model, not a curated record.